UACAUAUUACAUACACCGCAUACACUACACUAGACCUUACCCUAAUUUCCUAAACACAGCCGCCAUCAAAACUAUUGUCAUCGUCUCUACCAAAGAUGCGGUGAUCUCCAGUCUCCCACCGACGGUCCACGGUUGCCGUCGUUUCUCCCAAUCUCUUCCGUCACUUCUCUAUCGCCUCUCUCUCUCUCUCUCUCACACACACACACAUAAAAACCCUAAACGGUGUUGAGGAGUCUUUUUGUUUCUUGACCAGAUGCUGAGCAGUUCUGGAAAUCGCUAUCUCAACCCGUCUUGUUGGCCAAGUCGUCACUCCUGCCGUUUCUACUUCGACCCUAACCAUCACCUGCUUGUGUGUAUCUCUAACGCCUACAAGUUACAUUUUCAUUUGUGGUAAUCGAUCGGAUUUGGCAGUUUAAGGGUUUGAUUUGAAGCUCAACCUGAAAUCGAUCGUCCUUUGUUGUCUGCAUCUCUGCCAUCCCGACGAAGAACAUAGCAAAAGAGACCCACACAUAAGAAAUGUUCAGAGGAAAAUGUUGAGCUACCAACACAGUCAUCAAACGCAUGAAUUUAUCAUAAGCCACAGGAGAUUGUUGUGACCCAUAUUUGUGAAAUUUUUUCUAAUUUAUCCACAUAAGGGCAAAUUCGUCCAGAUCAGCCACUUUUCCAUACUGAACCAAUUCCUCCAUUUAUCCAACAGUCGUAAAAGCUUUCGAUCCCUCUAUAAGUUAGACGUUUUGAAUUUGUUGAUUCUUUAAGACAUAAUGGAUUGAAUCGGGUAAAGAGCUUGUUGUUUUGACUCCUCCAUCUAUAUUUGUCUCUUUUGCAGGUAACUGAAAUAUGAAUGAUUCUUUUUGACGUCCUUACCCCUUGUGCCCUAAUACCAUUCGACACCCACACAUCACAAAUGUUAUAUGGUUCAAACCUCCAGCUACUUCAGUCAUUUCCUCCACCACUCCAUGGAAUUCCUCUGUUAGAUCCACCAAUUCAUUGCCUUCCUCAACAUGGUUUUGGAUAAGGAUGGGAUUUCACUUUAGAACAGCUUCAUGGUGCUCUUUGUUUGCUUCGAAACUCAUCGAAUCUGGAAAUCUUGUAUAUAAUGCACAUGAAGGAGACUGGAGUUAAUUUGGGACCAGCUUCAAAUCAUUUGAAAAGCUUGUAUUCACUAAAACUCAAAAGACCAAUGCUAGGACUGGAGGUGAUUUUUGAUACUUUUAUAUAAAAAUAUAUGAUUGUAUUGUAUUGUUUUACAGGAGAAUGCAGCUUCUUUGAGGACUCAACUUGAUCAACAGAAAGGUGUUGUGGAUAAUCUUGUGAAUAACACUCGGAUUCUAGAAAGCAAGAUACAAGAGGCUAAGUCAAAGAAAGAUACUCUCAAAGCACUUGCACAAUCUGCAAAGUUAUUUUUUUUAUUUUAUUUUUUUUUUAUUUUUUUUAAAAUAACAUUGAGAUUUUGCUAUAACUUGUUGCAGUUAAUGUAUUUUUGUAUAGAACUGCAACAAAAGUAAGUGAAAUGUUGGGGAAUGUGAAUACAAGCAGUGCUCUUUCAACAUUUGAGAAGAUGGAAGAAAAAAGUUCCAUUUCUUUCUAUCUUAAAACAAAACAAAAGACAUGAAUGCCCUUUUAACUUUUUUUUCUUUGAUGUUAGUUAUGACCAUGGAGUCUCAGGCAGAAGCUCUUAAUUAGCUAACUACUGAUGAUCUUGAAGGAAAGUUUGCAAUGCUGGAGAGCUCAUCAGUUGAUGAUGGUCUUGCAAGCUUAAAGAAUGAGCUAUCUGGAAAAGUCUUUUACUUUCAAAAUGUCCAAACUAAUCUACAAUCUCUACUUGUAGAUGGAGUUUAUAUCGAAAAUGCGAAAUCCCUUUAUUGUGGAGUAUAAAGAUUCGUUGGUUGAAAAGCUUUGGCUUCUGGUCUUGCAAUUGCUUCUCCAACAGAACAAAGAACUCAAAAUUUCACAGUUGAGGUUUUGGGACGAUUUGAUCAUUGAGUUGGAAUCGGGAAGACUGCUACACUGCUUCAUUGCGUUUCUUACACGGAUUCAGGUUCUCUUUACUUCUUUUAUAUUUUGUAACUUCAAAUGUGUAUAAUAUUUUAUUUCUUACUUCUAUUUGAAGUGAUAAACUUCUUUUGUUUCAACUGUUGAUAUUAUUCUGUCUUCUAUCUAAAUUGAUCACUCUUCUUA
Lactuca sativa (garden lettuce) is the source of this 2178-nucleotide non-coding RNA. Lineage: Eukaryota; Viridiplantae; Streptophyta; Magnoliopsida; Asterales; Asteraceae. The record is from RefSeq and is a predicted model, not a curated record.